RNAcentral lists this ribosomal RNA (253 nucleotides) under uncultured bacterium. Its description in RNAcentral is "partial 16S ribosomal RNA". It matches the Rfam family "Bacterial small subunit ribosomal RNA", at positions 524 to 776 of the family's 1533-position model. The record is from RNAcentral.
UACGGAGGGGGCUAGCGUUGUUCGGAAUUACUGGGCGUAAAGCGCACGUAGGCGGCUUUGUAAGUUAGAGGUGAAAGCCUGGAGCUCAACUCCAGAAUUGCCUUUAAGACUGCAUCGCUUGAAUCCGAGAGAGGUGAGUGGAAUUCCGAGUGUAGAGGUGAAAUUCGUAGAUAUUGGGAAGAACACCGGUGGCGAAGGCGGCUCACUGGCUCAUUACUGACGCUCAGGCGCGAUAGCGUGGGGAUCAAACAGG